UCAAUCAAUCGGAUCUAUUAAAUUGAUAGGGUUUGCUGAUUGAUAAUCAAAUCAAAUCCUCUGCCAAAGAUUCUGACUUUUGUUUUCCUUUCUUCGGUGAUUUCGUAAGCUGAUUGAUUGACUUAUUCGAUUUUGGUUGUUUUUAAAAAAGUGGUUUCGUGUUUGUUUUGAUGGUGGAAAUGAGGAGAUCGGAGUCUGAAUUGUCGGCGAAGCGCCGAGAUGAGUUUCCGGUGAAGCUGGAGAUCGUGGAGGAUGGUCUAGAGGAAGAGCACGGUCCUCUCAACAAACGAUCUAGGUUAUGGAGCUCUGGUGGGACAAGCUCGUCGUCCCAAUGGCAGCGGCUAAGUAUAACCCUCUUGAUGAGCCGAGUCCUCUUGGACUAAGCCUUAGGAAGAGUCCGUCUUUGUUGGAUUUGAUACAGAUGAGGCUUACGCAGAGUGGUGACCCGAAAGCUGAGAAAGAGAGUAAAUGUAUCAAUGCUGCAUCAUCAGCUGGAGCGGCGUUAGCUCCAGGGAGUAUUGAGAAGCUGAAAGCUUCCAACUUUACUGCUUCGGUUUUGAAGAUUGGGAACUGGGAGUAUAAAUCAAGGUAUGAAGGUGAUUUGGUGGCGAAGUGUUACUUUGCAAAACAUAAACUUGUUUGGGAAGUGCUGGAACAAGGUCUUAAGAGUAAAAUCGAGAUCCAAUGGUCGGAUAUUACGGGUUUGAAGGCAAACUGUCCUGAAGAUGGACCUGGAACGUUGACCCUCGUGCUUUCUAGGCCGCCCUUAUUUUUCCGGGAAACCAACCCACAGCCUAGAAAGCAUACUCUGUGGCAGGCAACAUCAGACUUUACCGAUGGCCAAGCCAGCUUGUACAGGCUGCAUUUUCUGCAAUGUGCUCAAGGGAUAAUGAACAAACAUUUCGAGAAGCUUGUGCAGUGUGAUCAUCGCCUGUUCCAUCUAAGCCGUGAGCCAGAGAUAAUUAUGGACUCUCCCUGCUUUGAUACUCGGCAAUCUAUCUUUGAGGAUCCAAGUGAACCACAGGGCUAUCCUUAUGGGAAUUUGAAUCUUAGCACAGGUCCUUCAAUAGCAUCUCCUGUUGGGGCUCAGUCAUCAUCUGAACAUAUGUAUCUCUCUCAUGAAGCACCUUCCCCCAGCUCAGUGAUAGAUGCUCGUGCAAAUGAAGGAGUUGGGGAUGCUGAAGCAGUCAACUCAAGAAACACAACGGAUUGUGGUCAGAUCGGACUACACAAAUCUAUCUCACUGAGUGAUUUCCUCGCAGUUCUCUGUGAUACAAAAAUCACUACGGAUUCGGAUCAGGCUGAAGAAGCAGCUGGGCUAAACCAAUCUAUGUCAGUGAGUGAUUUGGUUGCACUACUGUCUGAUUCAAGAAACAUAACUGAUUCGAGUCAGAUAAAAGUACCUGGACUGCAACAAUCCAUAUCAGUAAGCGAUUUUGUUGGACUUCUCUCUGAUUCCGCUGGUGGAAAUAAUCCGGAACAUAUGGAGAAAUUUGAGAUCUUGAAACAGCAAUUGCUUAGUGAUAAUAUCCAGUUCGAUGCACCAGACGAGAAGUCUCUCAUGCCAAGGGUUAACUCUUUGUUCAACCUCCUGUACAAGGAUCCCAACGUUGCUGCAAACUCACAGCUCAAUACUGAAGUCUCUGAUGGAUUUAAGUCUGAAGUCCAUGAUCUGAAUGGGACAGUGCCUGCCAACAACAGCAACAACAGCAACAGAGUUGCUGAUCCUGCUUCCAGCAGCAAACCACAGGGUAUGUUAAGAAAAGACUCGUUCAGUGAUUUGCUCUUCCACCUCCCCCGAAUCACAUCCUUGCCAAAGUUCUUGUCAAACAUUUCAGAAGAAGAUGGUGGUGAUGCAUAUAAAUAGAUAUAAUUCUAUAGAUUCUGCUUUUGUUUUCAGGAUUUGGCAAGUAUAGGAGCAUGAACUAUUAGCUUUUCUGUUUUUCAUGUAAAUCAAAAUUAUCUUUUGGUGACUAAAACCCCCACAGGGAUUUGAAGAAACAUGUUUUGAUAAUGAAUUUGUGUACAUCAUCUCAACUAUAAAACAAUGUCUCAUGAGUGGCUGUCA
RNA transcript from Raphanus sativus (radish), 2068 nucleotides. RefSeq lists it as uncharacterized. Lineage: Eukaryota; Viridiplantae; Streptophyta; Magnoliopsida; Brassicales; Brassicaceae. The record is from RefSeq and is a predicted model, not a curated record. The transcript has 6 exons.